GACGAACGCUGGCGGCGUGCUUAAUACAUGCAAGUCGAACGGAAAGGUCCUGCGCUUGUUGCUUUCUCGAUAGGCGAAGGGGUGAGUAACACGCGUGGAACACGCCCUUGUCUGUGGGAUAACUUCAGGAAACAGGGGCGAAUACCGGAGAUGAUCUCCUGAACCACGGUGUUGGAUGGAAAGAGUCGGCUGUUGGGGAUGUUCUCGAGGCUUAUCAGCUUGUUGGUGGGGUAGUGGCUUUCCAAGGUUUUGAAGGGUAGGCUGCCUGAGAGGGUUGCCGGCCACAUUGGGACUGCGAUACGGCCCAGACUCCUACGGGAGGCAGCAGUGGGGAAUAUUGCACAAUGGGCGGACGCCUGAUGCAGCAACGCCGCGUGCGGGAUAACGGCCUUCGGGUUGUAAACCGAUUUCGCCUGUGACGAAGAGUGAGUGACGGUAAUGGGUAAAGAAGCACCAGCUAACUACGUG
RNAcentral lists this ribosomal RNA (468 nucleotides) under uncultured bacterium. RNAcentral's name for it is "partial 16S ribosomal RNA". It matches the Rfam family "Bacterial small subunit ribosomal RNA", at positions 28 to 507 of the family's 1533-position model. The record is from RNAcentral.